AGAGUUUGAUCCUGGCUCAGAUUGAACGCUGGCGGAAUGCCUUACACAUGCAAGUCGAACGGCAGCACGGGAGCAAUCCUGGUGGCGAGUGGCGAACGGGUGAGUAAUACAUCGGAACGUGCCCAAUCGUGGGGGAUAACGUAGCGAAAGCUACGCUAAUACCGCAUACGAUCUACGGAUGAAAGCAGGGGAUCGCAAGACCUUGCGCGAAUGGAGCGGCCGAUGGCAGAUUAGGUAGUUGGUGGGGUAAAGGCUCACCAAGCCUUCGAUCUGUAGCUGGUCUGAGAGGACGACCAGCCACACUGGGACUGAGACACGGCCCAGACUCCUACGGGAGGCAGCAGUGGGGAAUUUUGGACAAUGGGCGAAAGCCUGAUCCAGCAAUGCCGCGUGCAGGAAGAAGGCCUUCGGGUUGUAAACUGCUUUUGUACGGAAAGAAAAGGCUCUUUCUAAUAAAGAGGGCUAAUGACGGUACCGUAAGAAUAAGCACCGGCUAACUACGUGCCAGCAGCCGGGAA
This 518-nucleotide ribosomal RNA is filed under the name uncultured bacterium. RNAcentral describes it as "bacterial SSU rRNA". It matches the Rfam family "Bacterial small subunit ribosomal RNA", at positions 8 to 522 of the family's 1533-position model. The record is from RNAcentral.